Molecule: ribosomal RNA, 446 nt
Filed under: uncultured bacterium
Lineage: Bacteria
Description: partial 16S ribosomal RNA
Rfam family: Bacterial small subunit ribosomal RNA
Source: RNAcentral
CCUACGGGGGACAGCAGUCGAGAAUCAUUCACAAUGGGGGAAACCCUGAUGGGGCGACGCCGCGUGGGGGAAUGAAGGUCUGCGGAUUGUAAACCCCUGUCAUGUGGGGGCAAAUUAAAAAGAUAGUACCACAAGAGGAAGAGACGGCUAACUCUGCGCCAGCAGCCGCGGUAAUACAGAGGUCUCAAGCGUUGUUCGGAAGCACUGGGCGUAAGGCGUGCGGAGGCUGUUUCGUAAGGCGUGUGUGAAAGGCGCGGGCUCAACCCGCGGACGGCACAUGAUACUGCGAGACUAGAGUAAUGGAGGGGGAACCGGAAUUCUCGGUGUAGCAGUGAAAUGCGUAGAUAUCGAGAGGAACACUCGUGGCGAAGGCGGGUUCCUGGACAUUAACUGACGCUGAGGCACGAAGGCCAGGGGAGCGAAAGGGAUUAGAUACCCUUGUAGUC